UGCAAAGGUGAUCAGAACGCUCUGAAAUCCGAAUACUGGUAUUUUUUGAUAUUGUUCAACGCGAAUCGAACUGAAAAAUGAAGACUUGUGCUCUACUCGUUGUUUUGGUGCUGGCUGCAGUGGUUGUUCACGAGACAAAUGCUCGCGUUGCUGAUGCCGUGUCCUCCCUGGCCGCUACCUGUACAUGCUGUGGUAAUACCUGCUCCGGCGUCUCCUGUACCUGCAGUGGGUGUGACUGCGUCGCCAGUGACAAAUUGACUAGGGCACUUAACUAUAGAAGGGUUUAAAGGAUUCCAGGUUUGAAACAAGUCGUCACCGUGCAAGAUAGCAAGACUCAACCUUGGAAUACUGCAUUAACAGAAUGAUUGUGCUCACUUCAACCGGUUGUAUUAAACGAUAAUUAAGAAAUUGUGCGAAAAUUAUAAUUCAAAACAAGAAAGAGAUUCUAAUAAAAUACAUUUAUAUAAA
This 468-nucleotide long non-coding RNA is filed under the name Lingula anatina. Its description in RNAcentral is "uncharacterized LOC106159201". Lineage: Eukaryota; Metazoa; Brachiopoda; Lingulata; Lingulida; Lingulidae. The record is from RNAcentral.